Molecule: ribosomal RNA, 497 nt
Filed under: uncultured bacterium
Lineage: Bacteria
Description: partial 16S ribosomal RNA
Rfam family: Bacterial small subunit ribosomal RNA
Source: RNAcentral
GAUGAACGCUGGCGGCGUGCCUAAUACAUGCAAGUCGAGCGAACGGACGAGAAGCUUGCUUCUCUGAUGUUAGCGGCGGACGGGUGAGUAACACGUGGAUAACCUACCUAUAAGACUGGGAUAACUUCGGGAAACCGGAGCUAAUACCGGAUAAUAUUUUGAACCGCAUGGUUCAAAAGUGAAAGACGGUCUUGCUGUCACUUAUAGAUGGAUCCGCGCUGCAUUAGCUAGUUGGUAAGGUAACGGCUUACCAAGGCAACGAUGCAUAGCCGACCUGAGAGGGUGAUCGGCCACACUGGAACUGAGACACGGUCCAGACUCCUGCGGGAGGCAGCAGUAGGGAAUCUUCCGCAAUGGGCGACAGCCUGACGGAGCAACGCCGCGUGAGUGAUGAAGGUCUUCGGAUCGUAAAACUCUGUUAUUAGGGAAGAACAUAUGUGUAAGUAACUGUGCACAUCUUGACGGUACCUAAUCAGAAAGCCACGGCUAACUACGUG